UGAAGAAAUAACUAGUUUGUCAGACAGUAAAGGUCUUUAUUAAAUGCUGCACAGUGAAUAAGAUGUUGUGUUAAAACUGUAAAGGAUCUGUCUGAGCACUGUUACCUUUAAACAGAAGGAAGAAUUCCCUGGGCUAGACUGAAGAGGAUUUCUCCCCUUGGCCCCCUCACUUUAAGCACUGCUGCUUCUAUUGAUAUUUAGAUCAUACCAUUGCAGGAUUUCUCCCAGACCCAGUUUUUCCUACAAGGCACUGUUAUUCUGCAGACUGGUUUCUUUCUGGUUCUGAAGAGAAGAUUGCUUUGCAUACAUCAAACUUAUUGACGCCAGCAUUCCAAGCAUACAAGCGCUCAAGUUUUG
Molecule: long non-coding RNA, 357 nt
Organism: Acipenser ruthenus (sterlet)
Lineage: Eukaryota; Metazoa; Chordata; Actinopteri; Acipenseriformes; Acipenseridae
Exons: 3
Source: RefSeq, a predicted model, not a curated record